RNAcentral lists this long non-coding RNA (1866 nucleotides) under Sorghum bicolor (sorghum). Its description in RNAcentral is "long non-coding RNA (SBIC_LNC001256)". The record is from RNAcentral. Lineage: Eukaryota; Viridiplantae; Streptophyta; Magnoliopsida; Poales; Poaceae.
GCCGUUGAUCUUCGGUUGAACGGUUGGUAGCCUUCCUGGUCACCCACAUCCGGCCGGAGUUGGGCACCGGUUCGGUGGCGCCAUGGCCACCGCCCGGAAGCUCGCCGGAAGCUCGCCGGCUUCUCGUUUCCGAGCACCGUUUCCAGAAAGAAAAACACCGGGAUGAAGAGGAGCUCACCACGAUCUCGUCUAAGCGCUUGGUUGGGUCCGAGAGCUAGCAGAGGGGCGUGUCCACGCGCGGCGGCGAAAAGGGCUCCCGGCGAGAUCCAGAACUCGCGAAACAAGGCACGGGGACUCGGUUUUGGCGACCUAGAUGCGAAAACAUGACGAGGGAGCGAUGCUGGAAGCUUUAUAGUGGUCAGUUUGCGCGCUUGGCAAGGAAAUCCCGAGAACUCGGGCCUCGGUUCGAUCCGGCCGAGUCCGUCUCGCCCACGACGCUGGGAAGAAGAUGGGAGGGGCGAGACACUGCCGGGUGGGGUCAGUUGUCAGCGACUGAGAGAGAAAGGGGGAGGCGCUGUGCUGCGGGGCCGGCUCGUCAGCGAGCCAAGGCAGAGGGGCGCGGGGGAGGGGAGCUGGGCCUCGGCCUGGAAGGCUUCCUUUCUUUUUUUUUCUGUUUUGUUUUAUUCUUUUUUUUUUAAAACCUUUUUCAAAAAGGAUUUUGAGGACAAUUAAAUAUAAACUAAAUACAAUCAACACAAAAUAAAAUAUGUCUCAGCAUGAAUGCACAAAAUCAUGUUACUAAGCUUAUGAUAAAUUUUAAAUUUCCACAAAAUUGUUUAUUUGCUACAUUAAAUGCUCACUAAAAUUCUUAAAUAAUUCAAAUUAAAUCCUAUUAAUUGAAAUUCAAAAUUUGGAUGUUACAAAUAUCCUAAACAUGUUUUAUGUAAAUGAAGCUUAUAGUUUUCUUCUUUUAUAUAAUCUUUUGGUUGUCGUUUCUUUUGAACCAUAGCUCCGAUUAGAGUGCUUUUUCGUCUGUGUGUUUGUAGCAAUGUGUAGAUUAGUUUUUUCAAACCUUUUUCUUUAUUGAUUGGUGUACUGUUUUAAUUUAUUUAUAUUGCUUGCUUCGUGUAUGAUUGUGUAGAUGCUUGUGUGGUGCUUUGUGAUCAUGUCCGGUCGGUGAGCUUUACGUGGUGAUCAAGAAACAGAUCAUUGAAGGUUUGGAACUAGAAGAAGGAUCUAAGUUUAAGGCAAGUAUAGCAUGGGAUCAUCCUUGUUUCCUAACAACUUUAAUCACACCAUUUAUAUUGCAUGUGUCUUUUUGUUAAGGAUUUCCUAGAAUUGAUCUUAUACCUUGUCACCUAUGGUUUUGCAUUGGGUAGCUUAUGCUAGUGCUCCACUAAACCAUGAUCUUGUAAUUUGAUUAAUGGAAUAUGCAAUGAACAUUAAAAGAUGACUUUUUAGCAACUUUGGAAAAGAGGGCUGGAGCAUUGGGCUAUCUUAUGGUGCUCUAGUUUCUCUCCAUAAGGACUUAUUUGUAUCUGACCAUCCGGGACAUACAGUACAACUGUGAGGGCUACAUGGCUCUGGCUUUAGCUCAGUAUGAGGACCUUUUCUAGCUUGUUAGUGGUUACCCUUGUGGCGCAAAUGGGGAAUAGCAGACCAUGGAUUCCUGCGGGUGAAUCACAUUGACUGACUAAUGAAACCAAACGGCCCUAACUUGUUAGACGAACCUUUGAAAGGUUUCAUAGUGAACCCUGUCGGCCUCCCUAGGAAGAGGGUUAAGAGACUCAUGACCUCGGACGUAAGGGUAAAUCACGACUCACAGUGAAAGUGUACAACCUCUGCAGAGUGUAAAACUGAUAUAUCAGCUGUGCUCACGGUCACGAGCGGCCUUAGACCAAUACAGAAUAAAUGAUCACUAAUGGC